UUACUUACCUGGCAGGGGAGAUACCGUGAUCAAGAAGGCGGUUCACCCAGGGCGAGGCUCAGCCAUUGCACUUCGGCUGUGCUGACCCCUGCGAAUUCCCCAAAUGUGGGAAUCUCGACUGCAUAAUUUCUUGUAGUAGGGGACUGAGUUCGCGCUCUCCCCUG
The sequence is a small nuclear RNA, 164 nucleotides long. Its record names the gene U1. It matches the Rfam family "U1 spliceosomal RNA". From Rfam's summary of the family: U1 is a small nuclear RNA (snRNA) component of the spliceosome (involved in pre-mRNA splicing). Its 5' end forms complementary base pairs with the 5' splice junction, thus defining the 5' donor site of an intron. The record is from Ensembl.